RNAcentral lists this long non-coding RNA (8056 nucleotides) under Sus scrofa (pig). Its description in RNAcentral is "lncRNA (ENSSSCG00000056979.1)". The record is from RNAcentral. Lineage: Eukaryota; Metazoa; Chordata; Mammalia; Artiodactyla; Suidae.
GAGACGCACGCGUCUAAAUGCAGUCUGCACACACUCGCUCAGCCGGCCCCGGGCUAACUGUCUCAGGAGAGUGGCGUGUGCGCUGGGGUGCAGGGGGGCAGGAGAGAGGCGGAGACACACAGGACUGAGUCCUAGGCCACCAUGGACUCUCUGUGUGGCCUUGGGUGAGUUGAUUCCCUUCUCUGAGUCCGUCUCUUCCCCCAGAGACACGACCUGGAAAAUGGCAGACUUAAAUUUGCCCGAGACUGAGCAAGGGAUGUGGCUUCUUGGUCAUCUGAGUACGCUCUCAGCUGGUGGUCUGAUAACACCCCAACAGGCUGUGUAGGAUAAUGGUUAGAAACCCUCUAUUAGGGGAGUUCCCAUUGUGGCGCAGUGGUUAACGAAUCUGACUAGGAAUCAUGAGGUUGCGGGUUCGAUCCCUGGCCUUGCUCAGUGGGUUAAGGAUCCCGCGUUGCUGUGGCUCUGGCGUAGGGCAGUAGCUACAGCUCUGAUGAGACCCCUAGCCUGGGAACAUCCAUAUGCUGCAGGAUCUGCCCUAGAAAAGGCAAAAAGACCAAAAAAAAAAAAAAAAAAAAAAAAGGAAACCUUCUAUUAGGGGUCACAGACUUCCACGGAAAGCCAACUGCAUCACUUACAUAUCAGUGUCCCCAUCCAUGCAUAGAAUGGGCAGCUCUCCAGCGACACAGGGAGGAGGAUUUGAUGAGUUCAGGGAAGGAUGUCUGGAUGGGUUCCCAAGGAUGGGGCCGGGGAUGUGAAGCUCAUAAAGCACUGGUUUCCUCCCUUGCUUUCAUCCAUGGUUAAUUGCAAGAUUAACUCUUUGUGUGUGUGUGUGUGUGUGUGUGAGAGAGAGAGAGAGAGAGAGAGAGAGAGAGGGAGAGAGAGAGAGUUCCAAAGAGUGCAAGGGCAGGGAGAGGCUUACUUCUGUGAAAGACCACAUGAGGAAUGAGGUUGAGGAACCCCAGGAUGAAGGGGCCCAGCUCAUUGCCUGGAAGUCUGUAAGCUUCUACGGCUUUUAGAAGACAUAGCUCUUGCUCUUGAUUCUCUCACACGUUCCGCUGACUCUUUUCUCACCCUUCUCCUUCUCAGCCACAUCUGUUCCCUGAGGACCACCAGAGCCCUCCCUUUGUCUAGGGUCCUGCUGGGCCUCUCCUCCCGUCCCUUGGUCCUGGGCUAAGCCUGCUUCCUCCCCUCACUGGGCAGCACGGGAGUUUAGGGUUUGAAAAAGGAGACCCAUGUUCUGAUUCUGGUUUGCUAGUCACUGGCUGUGUGAUCUGGGACAGGUGACUUAGCGUCUCUGUGCUUCAGCUAACUCCUCCAUAAGAAGGACUAACAAAUGGACACCAUGGGGCUCUCAUAAAGAUGAAAUGAGCAAGUGUGUGUAAAACAGCGCAUAUUAAACCAUCAACAGGUGGACUGUUCUUCAGGUUAAGGCCUUGCAAGCUACUGGGUGUCUUUUUUUUUUCUUUUUUUCUUUUCUUCUUCUCAGGGCUGCACCUGUGGCAUAUGGAAGUUCCCAGGCUAGGGGGUCUUCUCUAGCCACAGCAGUGCCAGCUCCAGGUGGAAUCUACAGCUUGUGCUGAUGCCGGGAACUCCAGUUUUCUGAACUUUAACAGAGCCAGCUCCCUGCCUGGGCCAGUCGUGCUGGAAAUUGGAGAAUCAAAUGAGGAGAUGGCUCUGGGUGAACACGUGGUCAAGUAGAAGUUUCCCUGGAAAAGCAAGAGGUGAGGCAUCCAGGAAGGUCCUGUCUGGAUGUUUUCAACUGUCGCAGGCCUGUGGAUUGUCAGGGAAUGAUGCUGGCUCAGCCGUCUUCAGGGCACAAGGACUCGGGGCUGCAAAGGCACAUCCAGUGUGCAGGAGCUGGGUUCCACUGGGAAGGUUCCUCCGAAGGAGCAAGGCUUGAGCAAGGGAUGCGCAGUCCAAGCUGGACUCCAGCCAGCAGAGGGAGGAGGGGCAGAAGCUGUGUGAUGGCUGAGCAAACGGAUCUGAGCCCCCCACCCCCAGGCUUGACAUGCUUCCCCCUCCCCCCUCCUUCUCUUCCCAUCCCCCCACUCCUGGAAAAGUGAUUUUAUCCUGACCAGGCAGAAGAGAAAAUUCAACCCAGCAGCAUUUUACGUCAGUGUCUUUAAGAGCUGUGACAUCUUAAGAGAGCAAAAGAAAGAAGAUUCCAUCCACUUCAAAAAUCUUGAUUUCAAAAUGUAAAUACACAAAGAUAUAAUCAGAACUGAAGCAAGCAAAUGAAAACAUGUAAUCAACUCAUGUAAGCAUAGACGGAUGAAUUAAAGAGUGUGUGUGCGCAUGCGUGCGUGCGUGCGUGCGUGUGUGUGUGUGUGUGUGUGUGUGUGUGUGUGUGUACACACAUACAUAUAUAAGUUUUUUGGGUUUUUUUCCUUUUUAGGGCCACAACUGUGGCACAUGGAAGUUCCCAGGCUAGGGGUCGAACUGGAGCGGCAGCUGCCGGCCUGCACCACAGCCACAGCAACGCGGAAUCCAAGACCCUCCAUGACCUACACCACAGCUCACGGCAGUGCUGGAUCCUUAAGCCAAUGAAUAAGGCCAGGAAUGGAACCUUCAUCCUCAUGGAUACUAGUUGGGUCUGUUACAACUAGUUGGGUCUGUUACAAUGGGAACUCCCAAGGAAUGCGUAUGUUGUCAGAAUCCAGAGAUUGGGCUAGGGGGCUGGGGAGACAAGCCUUUGGUUUUUGUUUUUGUUUUUUUUUUUUAAGUCCAUGACAGAACCUGGAAACAGGAUUCAGGGAUGCCUCUGGGGCACCAACAAGAACUUAACCAAUGUCCCAGGAGAAAUUUCCUACUCUAAUCACUCAGCUAGUUGGGCUCAUAACUGCAACCCUGUGGGUCGGGAGCCCCAGUUCACCAGAAUAAUGGCUACACAUCUCUGAACUCCAGAAAGAUUUGGGUUACAUUUGGACAGCCUUAUGGGAAUGAAAACCAUAGUAUUUUAUUUUUCUGUUAUAUUCUUACUUGUAAUGCUAAGAUAAUUUUGCCUAUUAAAAUGAGAGUCUAAUCAUUAUAAUUUAAAAUGUAAUUGAAUAAUUAAUUUCCAUGUGUGGGUUUAAGUUGAAAUCUUACUAAGUUUAUGCUCAGUAAUAGAAUAGUUAAGAGAAUUUUAGGUUCCCCACACACACACAUUUAAUUGACUAGAUGUAAAAGAAUUAGUUAGGUACCCAGGGAGUUAAAAAGGAAAUCUAACAGAAGACUAAGAAUUCUUUUGAGAUGUACCAGAAGCUCAGAAAAGUCCCCAGAGUGAGCCUGAACCAGAUCAAGAAACAUAAUGUGGGAGUUCCUGUUGCAGCUCAGUAGGUUAAGGACCCGACAUCGUGUCCAUGAGGAUUCAGGUUUGAUCCCUGGCCUUGCUCAGUGGGUUGAGGAUCCAGCUCUGAAGCUGUGUGGGUCGAAGAUGUGGCUUGAAUCUGGUGUCGCCGGGGCUGUGGGGUGGGCUCAGCUGCAGCUCUGAUUAGACCCCUAGCCAUAUGCUGCUGGUGUGGCCGUUAAAAAAAAAAAGAGAGAGAGAGAGGAAAACAAGAAAUCUAAUGUUACUGGGAUCCCAGAAGCAUCCCUCCCCUUUGACUCUGUGUCUCCUCUAGUCCCUCCCUCCCCUCCCCCACCCCUGCAAGGAAAACCACUCACUCAAACCAUUAAAUUUAUAAAUACGCCAUGAAUUGUUUGAGGCAUGCUUAAUUAAUUACUUGCAUUUGUAAAUAGGACCAAAUGUCAUUCAAAGCCCUCUUAGAAGCGGUUGCUAAAAUCUGCUCUGUAUAAACAGAGAAAGAUUUGUUAGCAGAUUUCAAAGCUUAAGAGAGAACGGGGUUAAGACUUUGUCAGUUUAGUAAAUUGAACCAUAGUUAUUUAAACUCAAAGUAAACUUCUCAGUAGUCUUUUUUUGGGCACAACCACCGCUUGUGAAAUCGCCACAAGAUUUAAGUGAACAUUUGUCAAGUCUGGGGCAGGGUCAUAGUCCAAAGUAUUGAAAGAAUCUUCUUUAAAUUACACAUCAUGCCUCUGUACUUUCCUUAGGAAGAGGGCCCAUCCCCAAUUGCUAAAGCUUGCUUCCAAAGCCACAUCUUUAACUGGCAUUAAAUUACUUACAGUUUACUUCAAAAUGCUUCAGAUAGACCAUGUGACUUUUAAUCUAUACUCAAGGACAGUCCGUUAAAAAAGAGUACAGACUCCCAGGAUGGGUGAUUAGUAUUCGAAAGCCCACAAUUCAUAGGGGCAACUACAAGCAUUUCAGUUGUCUUUAUUUCCUAUAGGUCCUGGAGGGCUUGCUCUUUUGCAUAAGGGGCAUAGAAUGACUUUUGAUUGGUGAGUGCAGUGUGUAAGCAAUGUGUUGAUUGGCUGGGGAUACAAUCCGGGCACUGUCGCUCUUGUAGAACAAGGGCAUAGAAUUCAGGGGGUCCUGUAGUCUGUAGAAGGUCCUCUAGGUUCAAAAUUUCCACCUGCUCUUGUGCAUGACCUAUCAGUGGAGACUUUUGUUGCCUACCUACCUCUAGAAUCUACGCUGAAUUCAGCACAGAUACUGCUGCAUCUGUCUUGGGUAAAUCUUUCAUGCAAGAAACAUCUAACAGGACCAGACCUAGGACUUAAUGGAGUUCCAGAGCAGAAGUUUGGGGGCCUGCUUGGCAAUAUCUAACGUGUACUUGCUCAUAAAUGUGUGCUUGUGUGGCCAAAUUCAGUAUGAGACAUGCUUUUACACCUGGUACUCAGGUUGUUGGGCUGAAGAACAUGAGCCCCCAGUCCCUCUACUUGUCAAAUGUUGCUAUUUACUACAGUGGAUCCAAUAUUUGUGAAUGACCCAACUGGUUUAGCAGAGAAGCCAGGCUGUGGGCCAUAGGUAAAUGGGUCAGGUGGGAGGCCAUGGAGCAGGUUGGGAGACACAUUUUUGGGUGGGGACAUUCCUGGCCCAUUCCCAGGCUGUCAUCUGCUCCAGCUCUGGGUAGGGGUAUUUGGUGCUCAGCUUCCUCAGAUCCUUUGAAAACUUGCCCAAGGGGCUCUUGGCUUCAUCCCACACCAGGACCAAUCCCAUGCCAGGACCUGGAAGUUUGAGGGUGGGGUGGAUUGACUGCCUUAGAGUAGAGCCUGGGUUCCCUGUAGGAUCCUUCUGUCCUCUUAAACACUUGAUGUCAAAGGGUCUACGCCCACUUAUGUACAGCCCAGCUACCUAUUGGUGUGCAUUUCAGGGGCAGCCUCCAGGUUAGUGACGUCUCUUCAAAGUCUCCUUGGUGGUCCCUUUGGAAAUGGCUCUUUUGAAAAGGAGACAGCAGACACCUCCCUUCCUUUCUUUCAUCCCAACUGUGGAGCUUUCCAGGUCCAAACUGAGUACAAGCCAAUCAAGUGUGCAUUUCGUAAUUCAAUUCUCUGGGACCAAAACUUAACCUUAAAGGACACUGACUUUUUUUUUCCACUUCCUGUUUCCUCCCCGGCUGUAGCGAACAAGUUCAAAUGGCAGCCCUGAAGAAGAGGUUUUCUUUUGGUGGAAACCCUCAAGUUCAUUCCAGGCAGCUCCCUGGCCACACCAACAGUAAACCCCUCUCUCUGCCCCCCGCUGAAACCUCCAGGCACACAGAGCCCCAAGAGCUUCCAAAACACUCCAGACUCCGCAGCAAGAGCAGCUUUUUCCUUGGUGCGCCCCCCCACAACUGCCCCCCCAGGGCUCCCUCCACUCUGACAGCCCAGGGGUCCUGGCGCCGUCCUUCCCUCAAGCUGAGCCCUGGUCCCCAGCCGGCAGGGAGGUAGGUUUGUCUUCACAGCCAUCGGCUGCUCUCCUUGUCCUCCCAGCCAGCUGGCCAAUCAAGGCAUGGCGCCAGCCUUUGGUUACUUGGAGGAAAACAGCAUAGAAGACAUGGGGUGAGUGCGGAGGGAGUAGGGGAGCCUGACACGGGCCAUGUUUAGGAGACAAUUUUUUUCUUGUUGUUUGUUUUUUAGGACCGCACCCAUGGCAUGUGGAAGUUCCCAGGCUAGAGGUCAAAUCGGAGCUACAGCUGCCAGGCUGCCCCACAGCCACUGCAACGCCAGAUCUGAGCUGUGUCUGUGACCUACACCACAGCUCCCAGCAACACCAGAUGCCCAACCCACUGAGCGAGGCCAGGGAUCGACCCUGCAUCCUCAUGGAUACUAGUCAUAUUUGUUUCCACGGCACCACCAUGGGAACCCCAAGAGGAACAAUUUUCUUUUUCGGCUUUUGAGGGCCGCACCCAUGACAUAUGGAAGUGCCCAGGCUAGGGGUUGAAUGGGAGCUACAGUUGCUGGCCUACACCACAGCCGCAGCAACACGACAUGGGAUCUGAGCUGCACCUGGGACCUACACCACAGGUCACUGCAACACCAGAUCCCCAACCCCCUGAGCAAGGCCAGGGAUUGAACCCUCAUCCUCAUGGGUACUAGCCAGACUCGUUGCCUCUGAGCCACGACAGGAACUCCAAGGGGGACAAUUUGUAAAGGGAACAUGGAACUAUGCUGGUCAUUAGGACCCUGUGGGAGGCAACCGGCGUCAAAGAGCCCUGCCGGCAAAUGACUCUGUCGACCACUGAAUCUGGGAGCUGAGGAAAGGGGGUUAAAAGACCAUUUAUUUGUGCUCAACACCCCUCCAGCAGAAGGGGUAGGUCCUCCCUCAGCUGGUCUGGCUCCCACCUUUGCUUCCAUGCGUGCUGUCCUCUAUCUCCCGGCUCUGCCUCUGGGAGGUGCCAGGGGGUGGUCCCGGGCCUGGCCUCUCACACUCGCAGUUCACCUAGUGUAGGGAUGGCUUAUCCCGGGAGUUACUUCUCAACAGUAAGGGUCCCUUUAUCUGCAAUAUCCUUACACUCCCGAGUCCCCUAAUUAGGAACCAGGCCAUUUAGCCCAUUCGGAUGGGGCUCAGACUCUGUGCUUUGAAUCAUCGUUCACAUGAGGUGCUAUGAGUGUUCCUUCAGCUUUAAGGCUGUUGCAGAGUCCAGGAUCCUGAAAAGAGCAUGGCUUUUGUGUCUGGAAGACCUGGGUUUGAAUCUGAUCCCUUGAACUCCCUAGCUGUGUGACUUUGGGCAAGUCACUUAACCUCUCUGAGCCUCUAGUGCAUCCUCUGGAAUGUGGAGAUUUGCAGAACCAUCCUGAAGGGUCAGCAUCCUCGUGGACCCAGUCACUUUCCCGGUGCAUCCUGGCAUUCAGGAAGUGCUGGUCUCCUCCUCCCGCUCCUCUACCUGGGCAUGGAGGGGAGAGGGACCCCCAGGGUUGCAUGAUGAGUCAGCCUGGCUGGCUGGCUGGCUCUGGGACACGGGCUGCCUGGCAGAGCACAGCUGAGGGUGGACUUUGCCAGCCAGCCCGCUUCCGGCAGGGUUUCUGCAGCUGGAGAGGCCCUGGUCCCAGAAGGCAAAGGGGUCUCGGAGUCUCUAUCCCACUGUGGGGAGCAGCCCAACUCGGGGAGCCCUGGGGUGGAGGUGUGGGUGGGGGUGAGCAUUGCAGUGGAGGCUGCCACCCUUCUGAGCCAGCUGUCAUUAGUUGUUCUGGCUCAUAAUUGGGCUGUAACCACCCUUUGGGACCAUGAUUAUCUGUGAUUAGCCUCUUCGUGCCUGGGAAUGCUGAUCCUACACUACCCGCUCCUCCGCUGCCCCGGCCCUUCGGGGGUAACCUUCCAGAAGCAAUCAAACAAGAGCUUCUUGCUCAGAGAGAUCCACACAGCAAGCUCCUUCCUGCACUUUGCCAUGCCCAUGCCAGCACGACACCAGGAAAUAGAAUUGCUGAAUUGCUCUGUUUCUGAGCGGCGGGUGCCAGCUUCCUUCCUCUCUGGCCAGUGAGAGAUGCAGGCAUAUAAAAAGGAAAAUCCGGGGAGUUCCCAUCAUGGCUCAGCAGUUAAUGAACACGACUAAUAUCCAUGAGGUUGUGGGUUCGAUCCUUGGCCUUUCUCAGUGGGCUAGGGAUCCAGCGUUGCCAUGAGCUGUGAUGUAGGUCACAGACGCAGCUCAAAUCCCAUGUUGCUGUGGCUGUGGCUGUGGCACAGGCCAGCAGCGGCAGCUCCCAUUCUACCCCUAGCCUGGGAAAUUCCAUAUGUUGUGGGUGCGGCCCUAAAAGG